This 252-nucleotide ribosomal RNA is filed under the name uncultured bacterium. RNAcentral's name for it is "partial 16S ribosomal RNA". It matches the Rfam family "Bacterial small subunit ribosomal RNA", at positions 526 to 779 of the family's 1533-position model. The record is from RNAcentral.
CGUAGGGGCAAGCGUUGUCCGGAAUUAUUGGGCGUAAAGCGCGCGCAGGCGGUUGGGUAAGUCCGAUGUAUAACCUUGUGGCUCAACCAUAAGUGGCAUUGGAAACUGCCGGACUUGAGUGCAGGAGAGGAAAGCGGAAUUCCACGUGUAGCGGUGAAAUGCGUAGAGAUGUGGAGGAACACCAGUGGCGAAGGCGGCUUUCUGGCCUGUAACUGACGCUGAGGCGCGAAAGCGUGGGGAGCAAACAGGAUU